This 214-nucleotide unclassified non-coding RNA is filed under the name Hevea brasiliensis (rubber tree). Lineage: Eukaryota; Viridiplantae; Streptophyta; Magnoliopsida; Malpighiales; Euphorbiaceae. The record is from RNAcentral.
UAUAUUGUUCUGAAAAAUCUACCAAAGUCCCAAGCUUGUCGUCCAGACUCAGUAAAUACUGAUCCUACAAAUGGUCUGGACGAUGCAGAAGGCAAAUAUCUCUUGUAGAGAUACUGGUCCACUUUAUGUGUUAGUUGAACAAAACUUUUCGAGUUAAGGGAUAACACCUUGUGAUGAUGUGUGUAAGAAUAACUUCUAUAAGUAUAUGGCGAAG